UACGGAGGGUGCAAGCGUUAUCCGGAUUCACUGGGCUUAAAGGGCGCGUAGGCGGGUCAGCAAGUCCGGGGUGAAAGCUUUCGGCUCAACCGGAAAAGGGCCUUGGAUACUGCUGGUCUGGAGGAAGGUAGGGGCGUGUGGAACUUCCGGUGGAGCGGUGAAAUGCGUAGAUAUCGGAAGGAACGCCGGUGGCGAAAGCGACACGCUGGACCUUUUCUGACGCUGAGGCGCGAAAGCCAGGGGAGCAAACGGG
RNAcentral lists this ribosomal RNA (253 nucleotides) under uncultured bacterium. Its description in RNAcentral is "partial 16S ribosomal RNA". It matches the Rfam family "Bacterial small subunit ribosomal RNA", at positions 524 to 776 of the family's 1533-position model. The record is from RNAcentral.